Molecule: non-coding RNA, 89 nt
Filed under: Oribacterium parvum ACB1
Lineage: Bacteria; Bacillati; Bacillota; Clostridia; Lachnospirales; Lachnospiraceae
Also listed under: 1 other name
Description: Oribacterium sp. ACB1 Glycine riboswitch aptamer
Rfam family: Glycine riboswitch aptamer
About the family: This family represents the bacterial glycine riboswitch. Glycine riboswitches usually consist of two metabolite-binding aptamers domains with similar structures in tandem. The aptamers cooperatively bind glycine to regulate the expression of downstream genes.
Source: Rfam by way of RNAcentral
CAAGAUAUAUCCAGAGAGAGUGCAAACCACCGAAGAGGCAAGUUGCAAAGCGCAAUGAAUCUUUCAGGUAAAAGGAUGGAUAUAUUGGG